Molecule: ribosomal RNA, 1107 nt
Filed under: Haloferax sp.
Lineage: Archaea; Methanobacteriati; Methanobacteriota; Halobacteria; Halobacteriales; Haloferacaceae
Description: bacterial SSU rRNA
Rfam family: Archaeal small subunit ribosomal RNA
Source: RNAcentral
CACGGGGGCUAUUUAUCGGGUACGGGUUGGGAAACCAAACCCCGGAAAAGAAUUUGAGACAAGUUUCCGGCCCUUAGGGGGCGCAGCGGGCGGAAACCUUUUCCAUUGCACGCAAGUGCAAUAAGGGGACCCCAAGUGCGAGGGCAUAUUGUCCUCGCUUUUCACGACUGUAAGGCGGUCGUGGAAUAAGAGCUGGGCAAGACCGGUGCCAGCCGCCGCGGUAAUACCGGCAGCUCAAGUGAUGACCGAUAUUAUUGGGCCUAAAGCGUCCGUAGCCGGCCACGAAGGUUCAUCGGGAAAUCCGCCAGCUCAACUGGCGGGCGUCCGGUGAAAACCACGUGGCUUGGGACCGGAAGGCUCGAGGGGUACGUCCGGGGUAGGAGUGAAAUCCCGUAAUCCUGGACGGACCACCGAUGGCGAAAGCACCUCGAGAAGACGGAUCCGACGGUGAGGGACGAAAGCUAGGGUCUCGAACCGGAUUAGAUACCCGGGUAGUCCUAGCUGUAAACGAUGCUCGCUAGGUGUGACACAGGCUACGAGCCUGUGUUGUGCCGUAGGGAAGCCGAGAAGCGAGCCGCCUGGGAAGUACGUCCGCAAGGAUGAAACUUAAAGGAAUUGGCGGGGGAGCACUACAACCGGAGGAGCCUGCGGUUUAAUUGGACUCAACGCCGGACAUCUCACCAGCUCCGACUACAGUGAUGACGAUCAGGUUGAUGACCUUAUCACGACGCUGUAGAGAGGAGGUGCAUGGCCGCCGUCAGCUCGUACCGUGAGGCGUCCUGUUAAGUCAGGCAACGAGCGAGACCCGCACUUCUAAUUGCCAGCAGCAGUUUCGACUGGCUGGGUACAUUAGAAGGACUGCCGCUGCUAAAGCGGAGGAAGGAACGGGCAACGGUAGGUCAGUAUGCCCCGAAUGAGCUGGGCUACACGCGGGCUACAAUGGUCGAGACAAUGGGUUGCUAUCUCGAAAGAGAACGCUAAUCUCCUAAACUCGAUCGUAGUUCGGAUUGAGGGCUGAAACUCGCCCUCAUGAAGCUGGAUUCGGUAGUAAUCGCAUUUCAAUAGAGUGCGGUGAAUACGUCCCUGCUCCUUGCUACUACUACGCCG